GCUUUCAUAGCUCAAUGGAUAGAGCGCUCGCCUCCUAAGCGAGAGGUUGACAGUUCGAGUCUGUCUGGAAGCAC
Molecule: transfer RNA, 74 nt
Filed under: Streptomyces phage Wakanda
Lineage: Duplodnaviria; Heunggongvirae; Uroviricota; Caudoviricetes; Stanwilliamsviridae
Also listed under: 1 other name
Description: tRNA-Arg
Rfam family: tRNA
About the family: Transfer RNA (tRNA) molecules are approximately 80 nucleotides in length. Their secondary structure includes four short double-helical elements and three loops (D, anti-codon, and T loops). Further hydrogen bonds mediate the characteristic L-shaped molecular structure. tRNAs have two regions of fundamental functional importance: the anti-codon, which is responsible for specific mRNA codon recognition, and the 3' end, to which the tRNAs corresponding amino acid is attached (by aminoacyl-tRNA synthetases). tRNAs cope with the degeneracy of the genetic code in two manners: having more than one tRNA (with a specific anti-codon) for a particular amino acid; and 'wobble' base-pairing, i.e. permitting non-standard base-pairing at the 3rd anti-codon position.
Source: RNAcentral